RNAcentral lists this ribosomal RNA (517 nucleotides) under uncultured bacterium. RNAcentral describes it as "bacterial SSU rRNA". It matches the Rfam family "Bacterial small subunit ribosomal RNA", at positions 60 to 550 of the family's 1533-position model. The record is from RNAcentral.
AGUCGAACGAGAAAGUGAUUUUCGGAUCGCGAGUAAAGUGGCGAACGGUUUAGUAACGCGUGGGCAAUCUGCCCUCGAGUGGGGGAUAACAUUCCUAACGGGAUGCUAAUACCGCAUAAUAUCGCGUGGCCGCAUGGCCGUGUGAUCAAAGAUGGCCUCUGCUUGCAAGCUGUCGCUUGAGGAUGAGCCCGCGUACCAUUAGCUUGUUGGUGGGGUAACGGCCUACCAAGGCAGCGAUGGUUAGCCGGCCUGAGAGGGUGUCCGGCCACACUGGGACUGAGAUACGGCCCAGACUCCUACGGGAGGCAGCAGUAGGGAAUCUUGCGCAAUGGGGGAAACCCUGACGCAGCAACGCCGCGUGGGUGAUGAAGCUCUUCGGAGCGUAAAACCCUGUCAGGAGGGAAGAACUGGUCACCGACCCAACACGUCGGCGACGUGACGGUACCUCCAGAGGAAGCUCCGGCUAACUCCGUGCCAGCAGCCGCGGUAACACGGGGGGAGCGAGCGUUGUUCGGAA